RNAcentral lists this ribosomal RNA (253 nucleotides) under uncultured bacterium. RNAcentral's name for it is "partial 16S ribosomal RNA". It matches the Rfam family "Bacterial small subunit ribosomal RNA", at positions 524 to 776 of the family's 1533-position model. The record is from RNAcentral.
UACGUAGGGUGCAAGCGUUAAUCGGAAUUACUGGGCGUAAAGCGUGCGCAGGCGGUUUUGUAAGUCUGAUGUGAAAUCCCCGGGCUCAACCUGGGAAUUGCAUUGGAGACUGCAAGGCUAGAAUCUGGCAGAGGGGGGUAGAAUUCCACGUGUAGCAGUGAAAUGCGUAGAGAUGUGGAGGAACACCGAUGGCGAAGGCAGCCCCCUGGGUCAAGAUUGACGCUCAUGCACGAAAGCGUGGGGAUCAAACAGG